Molecule: unclassified non-coding RNA, 344 nt
Filed under: uncultured fungus
Lineage: Eukaryota; Fungi
Description: partial contains 5.8S ribosomal RNA and internal transcribed spacer 2
Rfam family: 5.8S ribosomal RNA (bases 1-133)
Source: RNAcentral
UGGCUCUCGCAUCGAUGAAGAACGCAGCGAAAUGCGAUAAGUAAUGUGAAUUGCAGAAUUCAGUGAAUCAUCGAAUCUUUGAACGCACCUUGCGCCUCUUGGUAUUCCGAGAGGCAUGCCUGUUUGAGUGCCAUGAAACCUCAAUCCCCGUGGGUUUUUCCUAACCCGCGGUGGACUUGGACUUGGGCGUCUGCCUCCCCAGGCUCGCCUCAAAUGACUCAGUGGGAUCCUUGUGACCUAUGCCUGACGUAAUAAGUUUCGUCUCGGCCGGACACCUGGGCCUGCUCACAACACCCCAUAUCAUUUUUGACAUUGACCUCAAAUCAGGUAGGGCUACCCGCUGA